RNAcentral lists this ribosomal RNA (586 nucleotides) under Escherichia coli. RNAcentral describes it as "bacterial SSU rRNA". It matches the Rfam family "Bacterial small subunit ribosomal RNA", at positions 848 to 1435 of the family's 1533-position model. The record is from RNAcentral. Lineage: Bacteria; Pseudomonadati; Pseudomonadota; Gammaproteobacteria; Enterobacterales; Enterobacteriaceae.
AGCUAUCGACGUUAAGUCGUACGCCUGGGAAGUACGGCGGCAAGCUGAAAACUCAAAUGAAUUGACGGGCGACCCGCACAAGCGGUGGAGCAUGUGGUGUAAUUCGAUGCAACGCGAAGACCCUCACCUGGUCUUGACAUCCACGGAAGUAUUUAGAGAUGAGAAUGUGCCUUCGGGAACCGUGAGACAGGUGCUGCAUGGCUGUCGUCAUCUCGUGUUGUGAAAUGUUGGGUUAAGUCCCGCAACGAGCGCAACCCUUAUCCUUUGUUGCCAGCGGUCCGGCCGGGAACUCAAAGGAGACUGCCAGUGAUAAACUGGAGGAAGGUGGGGAUGACGUCAAGUCAUCAUGGCCCUUACGACCAGGCCUACACACGUGCUACAAUGGCGCAUACAAAGAGAAGCGACCUCGCGAGAGCAAGCGGACCUCAUAAAGUGCGUCGUAGUCCGGAUUGGAGUCUGCAACUCGACUCCAUGAAGUCGGAAUCGCUAGUAAUCGUGGAUCAGAAUGCCACGGUGAAUACGUUCCCGGGCCUUGUACACACCGCCCGUCACACCAUGGGAGUGGGUGCAAAAGAAGCUGAAGAGU